AGAGUUUGAUCCUGGCUCAGGAUGAACGCUGGCGGCGUGCCUAAUACAUGCAAGUCGAGCGAACGGACGAGAAGCUUGCUUCUCUGAUGUUAGCGGCGGACGGGUGAGUAACACGUGGAUAACCUACCUAUAAGACUGGGAUAACUUCGGGAAACCGGAGCUAAUACCGGAUAAUAUUUUGAACCGCAUGGUUCAAAAGUGAAAGACGGUCUUGCUGUCACUUAUAGAUGGAUCCGCGCUGCAUUAGCUAGUUGGUAAGGUAACGGCUUACCAAGGCAACGAUGCAUAGCCGACCUGAGAGGGUGAUCGGCCACACUGGAACUGAGACACGGUCCAGACUCCUACGGGAGGCAGCAGUAGGGAAUCUUCCGCAAUGGGCGAAAGCCUGACGGAGCAACGCCGCGUGAGUGAUGAAGGUCUUCGGAUCGUAAAACUCUGUUAUUAGGGAAGAACAUAUGUGUAAGUAACUGUGCACAUCUUGACGGUACCUAAUCAGAAAGCCACGGCUAACUACGUGCCAGCAGCCGCGGUAAUACGUAGGUGGCAAGCGUUAUCCGGAAUUAUUGGGCGUAAAGCGCGCGUAGGCGGUUUUUUAAGUCUGAUGUGAAAGCCCACGGCUCAACCGUGGAGGGUCAUUGGAAACUGGAAAACUUGAGUGCAGAAGAGGAAAGUGGAAUUCCAUGUGUAGCGGUGAAAUGCGCAGAGAUAUGGAGGAACACCAGUGGCGAAGGCGACUUUCUGGUCUGUAACUGACGCUGAUGUGCGAAAGCGUGGGGAUCAAACAGGAUUAGAUACCCUGGUAGUCCACGCCGUAAACGAUGAGUGCUAAGUGUUAGGGGGUUUCCGCCCCUUAGUGCUGCAGCUAACGCAUUAAGCACUCCGCCUGGGGAGUACGACCGCAAGGUUGAAACUCAAAGGAAUUGACGGGGACCCGCACAAGCGGUGGAGCAUGUGG
RNAcentral lists this ribosomal RNA (955 nucleotides) under Staphylococcus aureus M0016. Its description in RNAcentral is "bacterial SSU rRNA". It matches the Rfam family "Bacterial small subunit ribosomal RNA", at positions 8 to 944 of the family's 1533-position model. Lineage: Bacteria; Bacillati; Bacillota; Bacilli; Caryophanales; Staphylococcaceae. The record is from RNAcentral.